AACGAACGCUGGCGGCAGGCUUAACACAUGCAAGUCGAACGCCCCGCAAGGGGAGUGGCAGACGGGUGAGUAACACGUGGGAUCUGCCCAAUGGUACGGAAUAAUUCCGGGAAACUGGGACUAAUACCGUAUGUGCCCGCAAGGGGAAAGAUUUAUCGCCAUUGGAUGAACCCGCGUCGGAUUAGCUAGUUGGUGAGGUAAAGGCUCACCAAGGCGACGAUCCGUAGCUGGUCUGAGAGGAUGAUCAGCCACACUGGGACUGAGACACGGCCCAGACUCCUACGGGAGGCAGCAGUGGGGAAUAUUGGACAAUGGGCGCAAGCCUGAUCCAGCCAUGCCGCGUGAGUGAUGAAGGCCUUAGGGUUGUAAAGCUCUUUCGCCGACGAAGAUAAUGACGGUAGUCGGAGAAGAAGCCCCGGCUAACUUCGUGCCAGCCGCCGCAGUAA
This 446-nucleotide ribosomal RNA is filed under the name uncultured bacterium. RNAcentral's name for it is "partial 16S ribosomal RNA". It matches the Rfam family "Bacterial small subunit ribosomal RNA", at positions 29 to 523 of the family's 1533-position model. The record is from RNAcentral.